UACGGAGGAUGCAAGCGUUAUCCGGAAUGAUUGGGCGUAAAGCGUCCGCAGGUGGCAGUUCAAGUCUGCUGUCAAAGACCGGGGCUUAACUUCGGAAAGGCAGUGGAAACUGAACAGCUAGAGUAUGGUAGGGGCAGAGGGAAUUCCUGGUGUAGCGGUGAAAUGCGUAGAGAUCAGGAAGAACACCGAUGGCGAAGGCACUUUACUGGGCUAUUACUAACACUCAGAGACGAAAGCUAGGGUAGCAAAUGGG
Molecule: ribosomal RNA, 253 nt
Filed under: uncultured bacterium
Lineage: Bacteria
Description: partial 16S ribosomal RNA
Rfam family: Bacterial small subunit ribosomal RNA
Source: RNAcentral